UAAGGUUGGGUAUAAACCCGGGAAACUGGGUAUAAUACCCGAUAGGUCUCGAUUGCUGGAAUGCAUCGAGAUUUAAAGCUCCGGCGCCUAAGGAUGGGUCUGCGGCCUAUCAGGUAGUAGUGGGUGUAGCGUACCUACUAGCAUACGACGGGUACGGGUUGUGAGAGCAAGAGCCCGGAGAUGGAUUCUGAGACACGAAUCCAGGCCCUACGGGGUGCAGCAGGCGCGAAAACUUUACAAUGCUGGCAACAGCGAUAAGGGAACCUCGAGUGCCAGGUUACAAAUCUGGCUGUCGAGAUGCCUAAAAAGCAUUUCAUAGCAAGGGCCGGGCAAGACCGGUGCCAGCCGCCGCGGUAACACCGGCGGCUCGAGUGGUAACCGUUAUUAUUGGGUCUAAAGGGUCUGUAGCCGGCCGGAUAAGUCUCUUGAGAAAUCUGGCAGCUUAACUGUCAGGCUUUCAGGAGAUACUGUCUGGCUCGAGGCCGGGAGAGGUGAGAGGUACUUCAGGGGUAGGGGUGAAAUCUUGUAAUCCUUGAAGGACCACCAGUGGCGAAGGCGUCUCACCAGAACGGACCUGACGGCAAGGGACGAAAGCUAGGGGCACGAACCGGAUUAGAUACCCGGGUAGUCCUAGCCGUAAACGAUGCUCGCUAGGUGUCGGCCACGGUGCGACCGUUGUCGGUGCCGUAGGGAAGCCGUGAAGCGAGCCACCUGGGAAGUACGGCCGCAAGGCUGAAACUUAAAGGAAUUGGCGGGGGAGCACCACAACGGGUGGAGCUUGCGGUUUAAUUGGAUUCAACGCCGGAAAUCUUACCGGGACCGACAGCAAUAUGAAGGCCAGGCUGAAGACUUUGCCGGAUUAGCUGAGAGGUGGUGCAUGGCCGUCGUCAGUUCGUACUGUGAAGCAUCCUGUUAAGUCAGGCAACGAGCGAGACCCA
RNAcentral lists this ribosomal RNA (938 nucleotides) under uncultured methanogenic archaeon. RNAcentral's name for it is "bacterial SSU rRNA". It matches the Rfam family "Archaeal small subunit ribosomal RNA", at positions 115 to 1054 of the family's 1478-position model. The record is from RNAcentral. Lineage: Archaea; Methanobacteriati; Methanobacteriota.